AGAGAUGCACUGGGCUUAAAGCGUGCGCAGGCGGUUUUGUAAGACAGAGGUGAAAUCCCCGGGCUCAACCUGGGAACUCCCUUUGUGACUGCAAGGCUGGAGUGCGGCAGAGGGGGAUGGAAUUCCGCGUGUAGCAGUGAAAUGCGUAGAUAUGCGGAGGAACACCGAUGGCGAAUGCAAUCCCCUGGGCCUGCACUGACGCUCAUGCACGAAAGCGUGGGAGCAAACA
Molecule: ribosomal RNA, 229 nt
Filed under: uncultured Alicycliphilus sp.
Lineage: Bacteria; Pseudomonadati; Pseudomonadota; Betaproteobacteria; Burkholderiales; Comamonadaceae
Description: partial 16S ribosomal RNA
Rfam family: Bacterial small subunit ribosomal RNA
Source: RNAcentral